GGAAUGGAGAGGAGGAAGAGACAGGAGGGAGAGGGAGAGAAGCUGUGGCAGGACAAUAUGGCGGGUGACGUUAAGAUUCCACACUGAACCUUUACAGGUUGUUACGAAUGUUCCUAAGGAUGGAUGUGUACAGGGCUUUGUACAUGUAGUGGGCAGUUAUAUCUUAUCAAUUGGGCCAAAGGUUAUUGUGUUGUACGUUCUUUCAUGUAGCGAUUUAAGUGUAAGAAAGUGUGUGGCUGGCUGGUCUGGGCCACCAGAGCUGGGAUGUGUGUUUCUGGCAUGGUGGCAGCCUGCCUUGAGAAUUAGAUAGGUAGAGAGAGUGCUGCCAGGCUCAGAGAGAGGCCCUUCGGCAGUGUGAUAAUAGGACGGAGCAGAGCAGGUGAGAGGCUUUGCUGACUGAGAAUUAAGAUAUCCAGCAGAUAUCUUGGGGCACCGCGGUGUAGACCUCGUAGAGAUAAAAGACAACCAUACUUUUUUAUUUUUUAUAUUUUAACAACAAAAACCAGCAGUGCUCUAAAAUGAGAACAGCACCCAUACCUUACAGGGGCACUGCCAGAGUCAAAUACUUAUCAGGCACUUGGAGACAGUUUGAUACAUAGUGUUCACUAAAUAGUAGUUAUCACUGGGAACUGCCAGGAGCCAAAUUCUUGUAGUGAUACAACUUUAAACUCAGUUUUAAUGUGACUUGGAGUGGGAUGGGGAUCUGGAAAAGGAGUUCAGGUAAGAUGUGGGGGAUGAAUAUGACUAAAAUAUAUGUAUGUAUGAAAUUCUCAAAGAAUAAAACUAUAUUUAAAAAAGGC
This 800-nucleotide long non-coding RNA is filed under the name Rattus norvegicus (Norway rat). RNAcentral's name for it is "long non-coding RNA NONRATT026615". The record is from RNAcentral. Lineage: Eukaryota; Metazoa; Chordata; Mammalia; Rodentia; Muridae.